AACGAACGCUGGCGGCAUGCCUAACACAUGCAAGUCGAACGAGAUCUUCGGGUCUAGUGGCGCACGGGUGCGUAACGCGUGGGAAUCUGCCCUCAGGUUCGGAAUAACCAUUGGAAACGAUGGCUAAUACCGGAUGAUGACGUUAAGUCCAAAGAUUUAUCGCCUGAGGAUGAGCCCGCGUAGGAUUAGCUAGUUGGUGUGGUAAAGGCGCACCAAGGCGACGAUCCUUAGCUGGUCUGAGAGGAUGAUCAGCCACACUGGGACUGAGACACGGCCCAGACUCCUACAGGAGGCAGCAGUGGGGAAUAUUGGACAAUGGGCGAAAGCCUGAUCCAGCAAUGCCGCGUGAGUGAUGAAGGCCUUAGGGUUGUAAAGCUCUUUUACCCGGGAUGAUAAUGACAGUACCGGGAGAAUAAGCUCCGGCUAACUCCGU
This 433-nucleotide ribosomal RNA is filed under the name uncultured bacterium. Its description in RNAcentral is "partial 16S ribosomal RNA". It matches the Rfam family "Bacterial small subunit ribosomal RNA", at positions 29 to 506 of the family's 1533-position model. The record is from RNAcentral.